Andrographis paniculata is the source of this 2876-nucleotide RNA transcript. It is a transcript of the gene named DNA polymerase zeta processivity subunit, with no coding region annotated. The record is from RefSeq and is a predicted model, not a curated record. The transcript is spliced from 9 exons. Lineage: Eukaryota; Viridiplantae; Streptophyta; Magnoliopsida; Lamiales; Acanthaceae.
AGAAUCCGUUACAACUUAGAAGGAAGGAGCGUCUCUUCUGGAAGCUUCUUCUCCUUUUCUUCUUCUUCUUCUUCUUAAUCGUCUUCUUCUCCACAGCCAAUUCCAUUUCCAUUCCAGUGCCCCCUCUCCCUCUCCCUCUCCCUCUCCAUCUCCAUCCCUGCCCCUCCCACCAGUCAAGUCAGUCAUACUCAUCAUGCCUCCCUCCUCUCAAAUCAGAGACGUCAAUGGACGCCCUCUUCCCUCCCGAUCAAUCAGGGUAGUUAAUUAUUUUCCCUCUCCAUCCCUGCUCUGGUGACUGCGGUGCAGUGCGAAUGGUGAAGAAAGCCGGUCAACUGGCGGUUGGUUCGAUUGCUUUCCCCCAAAUUAAUCGUAUCGUAAAUUAUAAUUUGUAAUUUAAAAUUUGAGUUCUUGGUGAUGGUGAGAAUUGUCAGUCCUCGGUCCUUGGAGAGUGAGUGGGUGUUGGGGUCGGAUGCCAUCCCAUUUCAUUUCAAUAGACAUAUACAGUCACUGUCACAGAUUCAGCUGUUAUAUUGCAGAGAGAGAGAGAAACAAAGAAGCCCCGUCCCCCAUUGCUCAAGAAACCAGUGGAUCGGAGGUGAAGAUAACACCAUCAACUUUUGGGUAAGUUUAACCACCCUUUAUCCUUUCUUUCUUUCUUUCUUUUUGUACAGUCUGCGCCUCCAAUACAAUCCAAUUUACGAUAGCAAUAUAAUAGAUGAUUUUUCAUAGGUUUUAUCAAUUGUUUUCAUGGAUGAAUUCAUAAUUUGGUUUUUUACUGGUCUUUUGUAUUUUGAUACUUUAAAGUUCUCAAGAUCCCUCCACUUCAUUGCAAAUACUCUCCUGCAUCAACUGAAACUCCUCAUUUGAUCUUUGGGGAUGAGAGUUGUUGUUGUUAUAACUCAUCUGUCGCUAGAUCUUGUUUCUUGGUCACUUCAUAAAAUGAAAUUGUGGCACUUUUCAAAAUAUGUAUUCUUCUUUUCAAUCUGCUUUCCACUCCCCUUGUUACUCUUGCCUUGUCAUAGUUGAAUGAUUAAGGUUUUGGGUUCUCCCUUAAAAUUGACAAGAAUGGUGAUACGGGUGAUUCCAUAAAUCAUUUCUGAAGUUGAGGGAAAUCUGAAUCUUAAAUGUACUUUUUCAAAUCUUUAUUGUUCAUUUUCAUUCUCACCUUAAGUCAUACUUGAAAAGUUGAGGUGUUGUGUUCUCCCACGAGGAUAGUGAAUUGGGUGAUUCCAUAGAUCAUUCCUUCAUGAGAACCAAGGAGAAUGGUGAUGGGUGAUUCCACAAACCAUUCCUUCAAGUAAAAGGAAAAUCUAAACUUUUAAAUGUGUAUUUUCAAGUUUUUAUUUUGUCCAAAAUUGUUUUCAAAUCAAUUGUCCGUAUAUUUUACCUUCUCAAAAUGGAAUUGUGGAAAUUUUCAAAACACGAAUUCUUUUUUCAAUAUGGUUUACUGGCCAGCAACGCUUUCAAGUUCUCUUGACCUAUUUUUUGUUGAAAUUAUGAAGUUAUUUUGCUACUUUUGUCUAUUGGUGGUGAGAAGAGGUACCUUGAGUAGAAAAGAUAAAUAGGUUCGAGCCCUGGUAAAGUCCGUUGCUAGUGACACUGCCGUUCUUGUGAUGUGCAAUUCCUUGUUUGAUAUCACUUCCUGUUGAAUAUAUUUUAUCAAGCUUAUUUCUGUUUGUUUACCUACAUACCAAUCUUUUUAGUUGGCAAGGGUUUUACUACUGUUUUUUCGAGAGCCCGUUGUUAUUUACUUGUUUGGUUUUAAUAUUAUAUGCUAUUUUGAUUUCAUUUCUUUCAUUUUUUUUGUUUGUGUGUGUGUGAGGUUGGUGGACAUAAAGUGGAGGAGGUUGAAACAAAAAUCUGGAACUAAGGCGCGUCCAAUCAUCAAAGAUUGUAUGAUUUUCUCUGUUUGGUAGAUUUGCGUUUCGCAGUUGAGUUCUUGGUGAUGGAGAGAAUUGUUAGUCUUGGGUCCUUGGAGAGUGAGUGGGUGUUGGGAUCGGAUGCCAUCCCAUUUCAUUUCAGUUUCUCUGUUGCUGUCCCCCUUCAGCAUUGACAUAUACAGUUACUGUCAGAGAUUCAACGGUUUAGGGUGGUUUAACUCCGAUUGGUCGAAUGGAGUAAAAAUUAGAGAAGGUUAAGGAUGCUGUGGAGCUUUAAAUUAAUCCUCCUCUUUGAGUGGUAUAAAUGUUGCAAAUUGAUUUCAGGUUGGUGAGUAUCAUGCAGCACCUUUGUUGCGAAAUCCAAUUGCAGCUCACAACAAUUGCUCGCUGUCCUCUUUGUCUUGGGGUGAAGAAGAUCCAUGUUGAGGAGCAAAGAAAACAGUGCUGAAAUGGGAUUGAAAGCGAAGAAGAAACCCAUGAAAGUGCCAGGAAAGGAAUGCAAUGAAGAAUGUUGUUUUGAUGAUCAAUUGGCCAAUUCUCAGUGUGACCUUCCUCUUUGUUGCCAUUGUUGCUUUCCAGCCUGACAUUGAUAGUGACUGGAUUAUGCCUUUCAAGCCUGAGUGCUGGCUUCCUUACGUGAUAUGCUCAAGGCAGCCAUCUGAAACUGACGGCAUCCAAACCCAAAGAAGGAGAUGCAUGAACUUUUGUUGUAAACGGCUGUUCCAGUUGGUCUGAGUUUGGACACAACAUAUUCGGAACUGCACUGGCUACUAUUUCACUUGAUGGUGUAGUGGUGAGAUUGCUAACUUUUUUAAGUACUGUUUUCCUUUCAAAAGCAUUGGCUCAUUUAUUUCUCGUUGUCUAAACUCGGUAUUUUUCUAGUUGUUAUUAGCUAUCCUUGCGGAUGCAUAAUUCAUAGGAAUGCAUGUGACUUUCAAGAGUAAGUUUUCUAGACUUAAAAGUUGUGCUUUAUGUGCUAAUUGUCUUGCCAUUUUU